CCCUUCCUUAAAAAAAAUCGCAGAUUUAGAUCUGGAUGGGAAAUUCUGGGGCCAUCUUGUCCAGCUCGGAGUGAGUCCCAGACAAGUAAAGUGCCUUGGCCAAGUCUGUGGCUGUUAAGUGGCAGAGGCUUCCGUACUUGGGGCCAGACUGCAAAGAUAACUGUCACGUGUGUCAAACAUGCUGAAAUCAUAAGCACCCACCUUAUACAAACUGGUUUAAACAGUUUCCCCACAUUCUUUCAAAGCGUUCGGUGAAUUAAACAUAUGUGGGUAUAUUAAUAUGAUGCGGUCGAAACAACUAAUCUUAAAAUAUCUAUUAAUUCAUCUGUGCCAUCUUCAUUUUUCUUUCGAUUCCAAAUUCUUAGCAAUGACUGGUACCACAAAUUUGUAGUCAUAACAAUAUAAAGCAUUUCUUAUGUCAGCUUGGAAAAAUGAAUUCCUUAUUCCAAACAAUAUCUGCAGUCCAUUUAUUAUAAAUUAUUGGCCUCCAAGUGUUUUGUUUUUGUCUUAGAAUAGAGCCGUAAAAUGCUGAAAGCAUAGGGGGAAUUGGUGAUGGAGGUCAGGGGCCAGAGUUGGCAAAUCUGGGAAGGAAAAGAAAGGAGGGGCAAGGGAAAAAUGGAAAAAAUGUUAGGUAAAAAAAUGAGGAUUUUGGAAGGUUAAAAAUAAGGAAACUGUGUUUCCUCUUCCACAUUUUCAAUUUUUCCCUUUCCAUCACAUCUUUCCUAAGCAUUACAAUUUCAUAAGCCAACUAACGUAUUCAUAAUUCAUUUUAUGUUUCUAACAUUGUGACUUUAGAUCUUCAAAGCUUUAUUUAAAAAUUAUUACAUCUAUUUAGUUAUUCAUUCCUAUUUCUAAUUCCCUCUGCCUAUUCUUUAUUAUACUGCAUGGCUUAAGAUUUACAAGAACAUUUAUAUGACUAAUCUAUCGUAUCAUUAGGAUUUAGAGGAAUGGGAAAGAGUUUUUGAUCCAAAAAUAUUUUAAAUGAUGACUCCAAUUCUUAUUAGAGACUAUUAAAAUAUCAAAAUGGUAUUUGUUGGAUUUUGCUUGGCAAUAAUCUAUAAAUGGGCAAUAUUUUUUCUAGUGUACACUGUCCCUAAUGAGGGAAGUUAAAUAACAACAUAAAAUAUAAAAAUAUAUUAGCCACGAUGAUGUAAGGAUGAGAGAUUUAAUAAGAAUGUGAGGGAAGAUUGGUCAAAAGAAGCCAUAGAUUAAUGAGAAAUAUAAGUAGAUGGAAAUGAUAGUAAUAAUGAUUAGA
RNAcentral lists this long non-coding RNA (1255 nucleotides) under Monodelphis domestica (gray short-tailed opossum). RNAcentral describes it as "lncRNA (ENSMODG00000050914.1)". Lineage: Eukaryota; Metazoa; Chordata; Mammalia; Didelphimorphia; Didelphidae. The record is from RNAcentral.